This 72-nucleotide transfer RNA is filed under the name Polypedilum sp. RNAcentral's name for it is "tRNA-Lys". Lineage: Eukaryota; Metazoa; Arthropoda; Insecta; Diptera; Chironomidae. The record is from RNAcentral.
CAUUAGAUGACUGAAAAGCAAGUAAUGGUCUCUUAAACCAAAAUAUAGUAAGUUAGUAGAUACUUCUAAUGA